CUUCCGGUCUAGCAUUAUCUGAUAGCAAGACGUGGUGGUAGUGUGGUCUUUUUAUCAUUUUCAACUAACUAGCGAUUGCAAUUUAUAAUAUUAUACAUAUUAUCAACCUUAGUUACAUAAUAGUUUUAGUUUGUUAUAUUUAUACAACAUUUUAGUUAUGAGUUCAACACGCUUUAAGGUGCGAACAUAAUUACUGUUCAUCUCCCGUUCCGGCGGCAGUCGAUCUUUCUUUAGAUCAAACUGAAGAACUCCGAAAGGAGGUGGAGCGCUUGAAGAAGUAGGUGGAAGAGCUGUCUGUCCGUCACAGUUUUUGCUUGGGGCGUUUUGCUGCAUCUGACGAUGACAAUGUCAUUGACAUACGGUUCUUUACUAGGUUUGUGACCUACAGUCAUAUCAUGGCGUUCUGGAGACUCAUUAAGCCUGCAACCAACAGAAUGGUUCGUGUGACAAGGGCAAAAGCAGCUACAAGAAGUGGUGAAGUUGGAGCAACAGGCAAUGCAUCUGGUCACUCCCUAAUGUCGGCUGAUGAGGUAAGAAAGACGCAGUCCAUUGCUCGUCUGAGGGUCCACGUUGAGGGUAUCAUCCGCAGGGUGAAGCAACACAAACUGUUUGAUGCUGUCAUCCCUCUUUCAAUCACACGAAGCAUAAACCAGCUAUACACUGUUGCUUUGCCUUCUUGUCAACUACCAGAAUGGGCCCUUGGUAAAAGCAUGGGCAACGGAUUAAAGACUUUGUAUGAGAUGGAUACAUUUUGAUUGGCAGAGAAUCAUAUGUAAAUUAAAUGUAUUUGCUAUGUAUGUUUUUGUAUUCGAGUAACAGAAGCAUUUCUUUCACAAUGCUAAAGUAAAAACUGUAAUGCAGCAAUGUAAAUAAGUAAUUUUGAUGCAGUUUUAAUGUACACCACUAAUGUAAACAUGUAAAUAACUUUAAAUACUACUAAAGGUAUAGUUCACCCAAAAAUGAAAAUUCUGUCAUCAUUUAUGGAUAAUCUUAAGAA
Molecule: long non-coding RNA, 997 nt
Organism: Paramisgurnus dabryanus
Lineage: Eukaryota; Metazoa; Chordata; Actinopteri; Cypriniformes; Cobitidae
Source: RefSeq, a predicted model, not a curated record